GGGGAUGACAUGGCUUCGACGGUGACUGGAAAUUUAACGUGCAUGCCGAGGUGCGGAUGGCCCUCGUAAAACUCUUCCGCAACCAAGCUAGUUGCGAACGACUCCAACUACGCCCUCGCCGCCUAAAUCCGGCGAGCGUCUGACCAGACGGUGUUGAUGCCCCUGAAUCAGAUGUCGACUCUCAUCAACUCGCAUUGAAGCCCGCCCUUGGCCGAUUUGCUAAAACCUUAAGGGGAUAAGCGACGGCGUUCCGUGCCCAUCCGGGAACCGAAGUCGAAAAUUAAAGAUUGGGCUACGCAUGUAGAUCGAAGAACGGAAGGUUGUCGGACGCGGGUUCGAUUCCCGCCAUCUCCACCA
This 357-nucleotide transfer-messenger RNA is filed under the name Pseudomonadota bacterium. It matches the Rfam family "transfer-messenger RNA". From Rfam's summary of the family: Bacterial tmRNA, also known as 10Sa RNA or SsrA, is named for its dual tRNA and mRNA-like properties. Lineage: Bacteria; Pseudomonadati; Pseudomonadota. The record is from RNAcentral.